GCUCAGUAACACGUGGAUAACCUGCCCUUGGGUCCGGCAUAACCCCGGGAAACUGGGGAUAAUUCCGGAUAGCGCACAUAUGCUGGAAUGCUUUAUGCGUAAAAUGGAUUCGUCUGCCCAAGGAUGGGUCUGCGGCCUAUCAGGUAGUAGUGGGUGUAAUGUACCUACUAGCCUACAACGGGUACGGGUUGUGAGAGCAAGAGCCCGGAGAUGGAUUCUGAGACAUGAAUCCAGGCCCUACGGGGCGCAGCAGGCGCGAAAACUUUACAAUGCGGGAAACCGUGAUAAGGGGACACCGAGUGCCAGCAUCAUAUGCUGGCUGUCCAGAUGUGUAAAAUACAUCUGUUAGCAAGGGCCGGGCAAGACCGGUGCCAGCCGCCGCGGUAACACCGGCGGCCCGAGUGGUGAUCGUGAUUAUUGGGUCUAAAGGGUCCGUAGCCGGUUUGGUCAGUCCUCCGGGAAAUCUGAUGGCUCAACCAUUAGGCUUUCGGGGGAUACUGCCAGGCUUGGAACCGGGAGAGGUAAGAGGUACUACAGGGGUAGGAGUGAAAUCUUGUAAUCCCUGCGGGACCACCUGUGGCGAAGGCGUCUUACCAGAACGGGUUCGACGGUGAGGGACGAAAGCUGGGGGCACGAACCGGAUUAGAUACCCGGGUAGUCCCAGCCGUAAACGAUGCUCGCUAGGUGUCAGGCAUGGCGCGACCGUGUCUGGUGCCGCAGGGAAGCCGUGAAGCGAGCCACCUGGGAAGUACGGCCGCAAGGCUGAAACUUAAAGGAAUUGGCGGGGGAGCAC
RNAcentral lists this ribosomal RNA (793 nucleotides) under uncultured Methanosarcina sp. RNAcentral's name for it is "bacterial SSU rRNA". It matches the Rfam family "Archaeal small subunit ribosomal RNA", at positions 88 to 879 of the family's 1478-position model. Lineage: Archaea; Methanobacteriati; Methanobacteriota; Methanomicrobia; Methanosarcinales; Methanosarcinaceae. The record is from RNAcentral.